UACGAAGGGUGCAAACGUUGCUCGGAAUUAUUGGGCGUAAAGCGCACGUAGGCGGCUUAGCAAGUCGGAAGUGAAAUCCCACGGCUCAACCAUGGAAGUGCUUUCGAAACUGCUGAGCUUGAGUACGAAAGAGGAUCGCGGAAUUCCCGGUGUAGAGGUGAAAUCCAUAGAGAUCGGGAGGAACACCAAUGGCGAAGGCAGUGCACUGGACGUUUCCUGACGCUGAGGUGCGAAAGCGUGGGUAGCGAACGGG
RNAcentral lists this ribosomal RNA (253 nucleotides) under uncultured bacterium. Its description in RNAcentral is "partial 16S ribosomal RNA". It matches the Rfam family "Bacterial small subunit ribosomal RNA", at positions 524 to 776 of the family's 1533-position model. The record is from RNAcentral.